AGCAUGAUAAGCUAAAAUUAAGCUAACGGGUUCAUAUUCCGUUAAUGAGGUUU
This 53-nucleotide transfer RNA is filed under the name Calisoga longitarsis. RNAcentral's name for it is "tRNA-Met". The record is from RNAcentral. Lineage: Eukaryota; Metazoa; Arthropoda; Arachnida; Araneae; Nemesiidae.